AGCCUUUCCCUCAAAUUCCCUAAAAUUUCAUAUCCCUUCAUUCUAUGUUCUAAGAAUUGCCUCAUUCCUUCCAUCAUCACCGGCCCUUCAUGUUUCGGUGCCAUCUCUUAGAGUUCCUCAAUGACAUGGCACUUUCCAGUUUUAUUGCUAUGAUAAUUGUCUUCGGCUAGGCAGAUCAGUAAGGUGGUUAUGAUUGAUGGAAGGAUUUCCCCUAUCAAAGAUAUGUUGGGUGCAUAUGCUUUGAACCAGAAUUUUAUCAGGAUCAACUAACUAUGUAUCCACUGCAUCAAAGUCGUAAUUCCCCAAGCGAGAUGUUGAGCGAUGCAUGAGAUUUUUUUCUUAUGCAAUAUGAGAAGAAAAGUUGGCCAUUUAUCUUGGACCUUGCUCAUGUGGGGGGAUAUUUCUACUUUUAUACUUUACAUGUCUUAUUUCAACUUCACUCCUUUCAUAAUAAAAAUUUAAUUGCAGAUUGAGACUAUGCAUUUCACAUACAAAAAAUUAUUGAGUUGUGGAUUUGUCUAACAAGAACAGAAAUUUGCUGGCAGGUAAAAUUGUUUAUAUAUAAUGUGCAAUUGAAUGCCCAUGUAAAGUAUUUAUGUUAAUUAUCUAGAAUGAUUAGUGUAUUGAUGACACAACAACAACUAGAUCAAUUUGUGCUACUUAGGGUGGUAUUUUAGCUUUUAAAUAGUUGGUGUAGCGGACAACUUGUAGUUAUUCGCUCAGUAUAGAUUGUUUUUGAUUGUUGGUAAAGGAAUGUCGUAACCUAGUCAUGAUGUUAAUAUUUUUUUUUUAAUUGUUUUAUUUCAUACACUAUGAUGUUUAGAACUUUAACAUGUGGAUGAGUUUCAUUAC
Molecule: non-coding RNA, 852 nt
Organism: Nicotiana tabacum (common tobacco)
Lineage: Eukaryota; Viridiplantae; Streptophyta; Magnoliopsida; Solanales; Solanaceae
Source: RefSeq, a predicted model, not a curated record